GUUUGUUCUCCAUUCUCGUCGGUUCUGGUCGGGGGUUUGCUGUUGUUUUUAUAAUCUGCUGAAGAUAAAUGUCUGCGCCUCCCAUACAUUGUAAUAGCCUGAAUCCUUGCCUGGACUACUUGCUGGGACAAGUACCAGAUGCUGUGUGGCUAUCUGAUUACCCAAAGGACCCAGCAGUUAAAACAGAACAUUGAAUUGAAUCCUGCUGGUUUCUGGAACUUAUCAGUAGUGAAAGCCAGCUGGUGGCAGCAGAAGAGAAAAGAUAGAGGAUGCAAGAUGGCAGCAAAAACAUGCCUGAAUUCCAUAAGAUCAAGGAACCAAUUAAAGUAAAAUUGAUAUCCAUUUUGGUUGUUGAUGAUGGUGCAGUUUGGUUGAAGCAGUCCCUCAAAUAGAAGCUUCUGGUACUCGUUGAAGAAAAUAUUUUCUAAAUCUUUUCUGAAAGUAUUGUCC
Molecule: long non-coding RNA, 450 nt
Organism: Phyllostomus hastatus (greater spear-nosed bat)
Lineage: Eukaryota; Metazoa; Chordata; Mammalia; Chiroptera; Phyllostomidae
Exons: 4
Source: RefSeq, a predicted model, not a curated record